This 3409-nucleotide long non-coding RNA is filed under the name Pan troglodytes (chimpanzee). Its description in RNAcentral is "long non-coding RNA NONPTRT003534". Lineage: Eukaryota; Metazoa; Chordata; Mammalia; Primates; Hominidae. The record is from RNAcentral.
GAGCGGCGCGGGGGCGCCCCCCUCGGCCGGGCGCUCGGGUUUCAGCCGCCGCUCCCCCGCGCCCCGCCCGCGCCUGGCCCGCUCGCCGGCGCCGGGAGAGACCUCGUAACGGAACUGGGACGCCAGCGCUGCAUUGUGGGAGCUUUUAAAGCGGCGGGGAGCUCGGCGCGACCCUCGGGCCCACCGGGCCACGCUCGCCCGGCCCGCGACGCCCCCCCGCUGUCGCCUGGCCCGCGACGCACCGAGGCCUGAGGACCCGAAAGCCGGGCGCGGGGAGAUGACCGGUGGCUCGUGACGGUCCCACGGGCAAAAUCUUCCAUCGCCCGGGGCUGAGACUUGUCAAACUGCCCUCUACGGUCACCCGGAAAGUAGGAGGCUUUUUCUGCAGAGGGAAAAAAAUCAAAAAGAGCCGUUCCAUCCCCCCUCCAAGGACUGGGUUUGAAUUGCUUUUCAUCUGCAGUGGCUGUGAUUCAGCGUCCCUCUUAGCAGCAGGCACUGACAGAGGCAGGAGAGGAAAAAAGAAAGAAAGAAAGAGAAAACACAGCAAAUGAAUCAAACGGACCAGGUAGCAGGCAAGAGUGUGGUUAUCGUUGGACCAGGAUUCAGGAUCUGACCGAGUAGCUGACUCUUAAUCCAGUUUGUGUUGAUCACCAGGAGGAUCUGGACCUCAGUGUUAUCACAUCUAAAGGAAAGGAGCCUAACUAGAGUCAGUGAUAUGCCAACUCCACCUUUGCCUUCCACCAUGUUUGGAAGCUCCCUGAGGCCUCACCAGGAGCAGAUGCUCGUCCCAUGCUUCCUAUAAGCCUGCAGAACUGUGAGCCAUAAUAAACUGUGAAUUAUAAAUUGCCUUUAUAGCAAUGCAAAUGGACCAGUACAGAUGGGAUGCUGGGAAGACAGUUGUUCCACCUUCAGUAAAGUCCAUGGAACACAGUUGUGACUAUAUUCUAGGCCAGCCAAGAUGCUUGUACUCAGAAAGGAGUGAUCUCAGGACCAUAAGAAAGUGAAAAAAUAAAAAUAAGAAAACAAAGAAGGGAUUGUCAAUGAAUCAGAAUUCAUCAAGGUCAAAGUCUUAGGAAAUUCCUUCAUGAGGAAGUCUAGGGGGGCUAUGGAAAUGAAAAUUUUUAAACAAAUAGGUCAAGGAAGCUUUUCCUGAUCCACUAAGGACAAUCAAACCCUUCAUGAUCUAGAAUCUGGAGACUGUGUCUUCUGGGAAUAGUAUCAGAGAAAGACUGCCCUUACUGCCCACAUGUAGCAAAACUUUGAGACGUUGAAUUAUGGGUCCAUAAUCUCACAACUCAGAGGGGCACCUCUAGACUCUUGGAACUGCAUAUCUAUUGGAGACUUUAAGGUAAAGCUGAACAGAGACGUUUUUCUCCAGAAGCAGACAGCACCAUAGUCAUGGACAGCUUUCCCAAGAUCACAGAUCAAGACUUCUGUGCCGUCAUGAGACUCAUACCUCUUAAUUUUUUCUUGCUUAUGCUUCUGUGAACAAUAGAAUUGGAAAAGGGGUGGUCCCGCGUGCACCCAUAGGGUAUACUUUUAUUUGUGGAGGAUUUUGCUGCCAACCUUAUACAUGGGCAAACUUAUGCCUUCAUGGAUGGAAGAUAAAGGGCUAAUAUGGGUUAGAAAUUUUAAUGGUACCUUUGUUUCUCCAUAAUCAUUCAGAAACAGAACACUGGUCCACUCUUGUUAACCUACAUCAUAGGUUGAAGAGAACAUUGCCAGGAGGUCUUCAUCCUUCCAGAUGGGCACCAUUUGUUGGGUCUUUUUCCAUGGUAUGAAGAAAAUGAAGCAAUGAUUAGAAAUUGGUCCCUCGGCCGGGCACAAUGGCUCAUGCCUGUAAUCCCAUCACUUUGGCAGGCCGACGCGGGUGGAUCACCUGAGGUCAGGAGUUUGAGACCAGCCUGACCAAUGUGGUGAAACCCCAUCUCUACUAAAAAUACAAAAAUUAGCUGGGUGUGAUGGUGCACACCUGUAAUCCAGCUACUCGGGAGGCUGAGACAGGAGAAUUGCUUGAACCUGGGAGGCAGAGGUUGCAGUGAGCCAAGAUCACCCCACUGCAUUCCAGGUUGGGCAACAGAGCAAGACUCUGUCUCAAAAAAAAAAGAAGAAAGAAAGAAAUUGAUCCCUCAUAAUAGGCUGUAUAGCAGAUUCUACUGCAAAGGCUAUGGUUGCACAACAGCCUUCUUUGAAUUUGCUUGCUAAACUUUUACUGGAUAAUAGAAUUGCCUCCAAAAGUGCUGGGAUUACAGGUGUGAGCCACUGUGCCCAGCCUCUCCUGUUUAAUUGUAUUCAUUCUAAUGUUUACUUACUUCUUUAAUUUGUAAAAUUGGGUCACUUAGAGUUUUUUAGCCUAUCUUACCAUUUAGCCACUAUUACUGAUAAUUUGGAUGGAAAAGAAAAAUAAAUUAUAUCACCUCUCAUCUUCAGUGUAUAUAUGUGUUAGCUUAGUAAAUAUAGUAUUCUUUCUCGUUCCUAAUGAAAAUGUAGUUUACAUACUGAAACACUGCAAACUUUUAUAAAUAUUGUGAUGUAUUUGACCAAUACAAAGGAUCUUUUUAGAAACAGCAAACAGUUCUCAGAUUAUAGGAAUUACUCAUUUAAUGAUAGUUUCUUCUUAAAAAAAAAAAGAAAAAUGUUUAGUUACCAAAUCAUAAACAACCCCUUAAAAGACACUCAGAUAAUCUCAUGGGUCAGGAAGAUGAUGAUCAGUAUAUUUGGUUAAUAAAAUAUAGCAUAGAAAGCAUAAACCAUAAAUGGAAAAUAUAACAGAUUGUACCAAAGAGAAUACAUUGAAAUACAUUAAGAAAUCGGAUUUAAACUAUGAUUGGAUCCUUCUUUAGGUGGAAGUUAUUUGAGAGAAUAAUUCCAUGAAAAUUAAAAAGUCAUGAUUCUUUCAUUGUAGGCUAGAAAAAUGGAUUUAGUCAGCUGAGAUUAAGUAUGGGGGACUCUACAAGAACCUAUGCUAGGAUAAGAAUAUUGGAGGAAAAACAGUGGAUGAGGUACCAGAUGUUAUGGCAUUCCAUCUUUGUAAAUAUAUGCAAUAAAAUCUGGUCUAUCUAGCUUUCUUUCAACCUAAAUGCCACUCACCGAUCUCACUACAUUUCUGCAGUACUGUAAUUGAGGUUUAUAAUGAUGACCCUGACAUGACUUGUGAAUCAUAGCAGAAGAUUAAAUUAUGUUCUGCUUUUUCCUUCAUGUAUUUAAUUAUAUUUAUAUUAGUUGCAAACUGGAAAUCUGAUCUGUUUUAAAACCCUGCUAGAUUAACCAGAGCCUCUUUAUCAGGGACCCAACCAUCCUUAAUAGCAGAGUUUAUAGUUCAUGGGGGGGAAAAAAAAGCACCCAGGAACUGAUUUUAAAAUGUGACAUUUGUACUUUCAUAGCAAGAAUAAUUAUUACAAGAUAAUUU